RNAcentral lists this ribosomal RNA (301 nucleotides) under uncultured bacterium. RNAcentral's name for it is "partial 16S ribosomal RNA". It matches the Rfam family "Bacterial small subunit ribosomal RNA", at positions 509 to 807 of the family's 1533-position model. The record is from RNAcentral.
CAGUCGCCGCGGUAAUACAGAGGGUGCGAGCGUUAAUCGGAUUUACUGGGCGUUAAGCGUGCGUAGGCGGCUUCUUAAGUCGGAUGUGAAAUCCCUGAGCUUAACUUAGGAAUUGCAUUCGAUACUGGGAAGCUAGAGUAUGGGAGAGGAUGGUAGAAUUCCAGGUGUAGCGGUGAAAUGCGUAGAGAUCUGGAGGAAUACCGAUGGCGAAGGCAGCCAUCUGGCCUAAUACUGACGCUGAGGUACGAAAGCAUGGGGAGCAAACAGGAUUAGAUACCCGCGUAGUCCCUGUCUCUUAUAC